GGUGGGAAAUGCCCCGCACGAACUAUCUGAUCAAGUUUUCUUUUUCCUAUCACAGGCAGAUGGCAAAGCCGUGUUUGAUCGUCGCGUACAUGCUCCGUUACAGCUUCGUUCAUGCGCCAAUCAAUUGACAGUGAAGCAGAGAAGGAAGAGUUUUGAUCACCGUGUGGGUAGUCUCUAUUAGGGUUUCCGUUUCAUGUGCACUAAAAAGGAAGGA
Molecule: long non-coding RNA, 214 nt
Filed under: Nicotiana benthamiana
Lineage: Eukaryota; Viridiplantae; Streptophyta; Magnoliopsida; Solanales; Solanaceae
Description: long non-coding RNA (NBEN_LNC013851)
Source: RNAcentral